GUGCCAGCAGCCGCGGUAAUACGGAGGAUCCGAGCGUUAUCCGGAUUCAUUGGGUUUAAAGGGUGCGCAGGCGGCCUGGUAAGUCGGCGGUGAAAAGCCGGGGCUCAACCCCGGUCUUGCCGUUGAUACUGCCGGGCUGGAGUUCGGUCGACGGCGGCGGAAUGUGCCAUGUAGCGGUGAAAUGCAUAGAUAUGGCGCAGGACCCCGAUUGCGAAGGCAGCCGCCGAGACCUGGACUGACGCUCAGGCACGAAGGCGUGGGUAUCGAACAGGAUUAGAUACCCUGGUAGUCCACGCGGUAAACGAUGGUCACUGGCCUUGCGCGACAGAAUGUGCGAGGCUGAGCGAAAGCGUUAAGUGACCCACCUGGGGAGUACGUCCGCAAGGAUGAAACUCAAAGGAAUUGACGGGGGCCCGCACAAGCGGAGGAACAUGUGGUUUAAUUCGAUGAUACGCGAGGGACCUUACCCGGGCUCAAACGACGGUGGACCGGGGCGGAGACGCCCUUUCCAGCGAUGGCCGCCGUCGAGGUGCUGCAUGGUUGUCGUCAGCUCGUGCCGUGAGGUGUCGGCUUAAGUGCCAUAACGAGCGCAACCCUUGCCGUCGGUUGCCAGCGGGUGAUGCCGGGGACUCCGACGGGACUGCCGCCGCAAGGUGCGAGGAAGGCGGGGAUGACGUCAAAUCAGCACGGCCCUUACGUCCGGGGCGACACACGUGUUACAAUGGGCGGUACAGCGGGUUGCUGCGCGGCGACGCGUGGCGGAUCCCGAAAGCCGUCCCCAGUUCGGAUCGGAGUCUGCAACCCGACUCCGUGAAGCUGGAUUCGCUAGUAAUCGCGCAUCAGCCAUGGCGCGGUGAAUACGUUCCCGGGCCUUGUACACACCGCCCGU
Molecule: ribosomal RNA, 889 nt
Filed under: uncultured bacterium
Lineage: Bacteria
Description: bacterial SSU rRNA
Rfam family: Bacterial small subunit ribosomal RNA
Source: RNAcentral